Molecule: unclassified non-coding RNA, 300 nt
Organism: Callithrix jacchus (white-tufted-ear marmoset)
Lineage: Eukaryota; Metazoa; Chordata; Mammalia; Primates; Cebidae
Rfam family: Metazoan signal recognition particle RNA
About the family: The signal recognition particle (SRP) is a universally conserved ribonucleoprotein. It is involved in the co-translational targeting of proteins to membranes. The eukaryotic SRP consists of a 300-nucleotide 7S RNA and six proteins: SRPs 72, 68, 54, 19, 14, and 9.
Source: Ensembl
GCUGGGCGUGGUGGUGCAUGCUUGUAGCCCCAGCUACUAGGGAUGCUGAGGUGGGAGGAUCGCUUGAGCCCAGGAGUUCUGGGCUGUAGUGCACUAUGCUGAUCAGGUGUCCACACUAAGUUCGGCAUCAAUAUAGUGACCUCCUGGGAGCGGGGGACCACCAGGUUGCCUAAGAAGAGGUGAACUGGCCGAGGUCAGAAACGGAGCAGGUCAAAACUCUUGUGCUGAUCAGUAGUGGCAUUGUACCUGUGAAUAGCCACUGCACUCCAGCCUGGACAACAUAGUGAGACCCUGUCUCUA